This 696-nucleotide ribosomal RNA is filed under the name Mycobacterium sp. RNAcentral's name for it is "bacterial SSU rRNA". It matches the Rfam family "Bacterial small subunit ribosomal RNA", at positions 78 to 788 of the family's 1533-position model. Lineage: Bacteria; Bacillati; Actinomycetota; Actinomycetes; Mycobacteriales; Mycobacteriaceae. The record is from RNAcentral.
CUUUGGGGUACUCGAGUGGCGAACGGGUGAGUAACACGUGGGUGAUCUGCCCUGCACUUCGGGAUAAGCCUGGGAAACUGGGUCUAAUACCGGAAAGGACCAUGGCAUGCAUGUGCUGUGGUGGAAAGCUUUUGCGGUGUGGGAUGGGCCCGCGGCCUAUCAGCUUGUUGGUGAGGUUACGGCUCACCAAGGCGACGACGGGUAGCCGGCCUGAGAGGGUGACCGGCCACACUGGGACUGAGAUACGGCCCAGACUCCUACGGGAGGCAGCAGUGGGGAAUAUUGCACAAUGGGCGCAAGCCUGAUGCAGCGACGCCGCGUGGGGGAUGACGGCCUUCGGGUUGUAAACCUCUUUCAGCACAGACGAAGCGCAAGUGACGGUAUGUGCAGAAGAAGCACCGGCCAACUACGUGCCAGCAGCCGCGGUAAUACGUAGGGUGCGAGCGUUGUCCGGAAUUACUGGGCGUAAAGAGCUCGUAGGUGGUUUGUCGCGUUGUUCGUGAAAACUCACAGCUUAACUGUGGGCGUGCGGGCGAUACGGGCAGACUUGAGUACUGCAGGGGAGACUGGAAUUCCUGGUGUAGCGGUGGAAUGCGCAGAUAUCAGGAGGAACACCGGUGGCGAAGGCGGGUCUCUGGGCAGUAACUGACGCUGAGGAGCGAAAAGCGUGGGGAGCGAACAGGAAUUAGAUACCCC